RNAcentral lists this ribosomal RNA (667 nucleotides) under uncultured bacterium. RNAcentral describes it as "bacterial SSU rRNA". It matches the Rfam family "Bacterial small subunit ribosomal RNA", at positions 8 to 720 of the family's 1533-position model. The record is from RNAcentral.
AGAGUUUGAUCCUGGCUCAGAACGAACGCUGGCGGCAUGCCUAACACAUGCAAGUCGAACGAGACCUUCGGGUCUAGUGGCGCACGGGUGCGUAACGCGUGGGAAUCUGCCCUUGGGUUCGGAAUAACAGUUGGAAACGACUGCUAAUACCGGAUGAUGACGUAAGUCCAAAGAUUUAUCGCCCAGGGAUGAGCCCGCGUAGGAUUAGCUAGUUGGUGAGGUAAAGGCUCACCAAGGCGACGAUCCUUAGCUGGUCUGAGAGGAUGAUCAGCCACACUGGGACUGAGACACGGCCCAGACUCCUACGGGAGGCAGCAGUGGGGAAUAUUCGGACAAUGGGCGAAAGCCUGAUCCAGCAAUGCCGCGUGAGUGAUGAAGGCCUUAGGGUUGUAAAGCUCUUUUACCCGGGAUGAUAAUGACAGUACCGGGAGAAUAAGCCCCGGCUAACUCCGUGCCAGCAGCCGCGGUAACACGGAGGGGGCUAGCGUUGUUCGGAAUUACUGGGCGUAAAGCGCACGUAGGCGGUUAUUCAUGUCUGAGGUGAAAGCCCGGAGCUCCACUCCGGAAUUGCCUUUGAAACUANAUAACUUGAAUCCAUGAAAGGUAAGUGGAAUNCCUANUGUANAUGUAACAUUCGUAAAUNUUCGGAAAANCACCGUUUGGCNAG